Molecule: ribosomal RNA, 468 nt
Filed under: uncultured bacterium
Lineage: Bacteria
Description: partial 16S ribosomal RNA
Rfam family: Bacterial small subunit ribosomal RNA
Source: RNAcentral
GACGAACGCUGGCGGCGUGCUUAACACAUGCAAGUCGAACGGAAAGGCCCUGCUUUUGUGGGGUGCUCGAGUGGCGAACGGGUGAGUAACACGUGAGUAACCUGCCCUUGACUUUGGGAUAACUUCAGGAAACUGGGGCUAAUACCGGAUAGGAGCUCCUGCUGCAUGGUGGGGGUUGGAAAGUUUCGGCGGUUGGGGAUGGACUCGCGGCUUAUCAGCUUGUUGGUGGGGUAGUGGCUUACCAAGGCUUUGACGGGUAGCCGGCCUGAGAGGGUGAACGGCCACAUUGGGACUGAGGUACGGCCCAGACUCCAACGGGAGGCAGCAGUGGGGAAUAUUGCACAAUGGGCGGAAGCCUGAUGCAGCGACGCCGCGUGCGGGAUGACGGCCUUCGGGUUGUAAACCGCUUUCGCCUGUGACGAAGCGUGAGUGACGGUAAUGGGUAAAGAAGCACCGGCUAACUACGUG